UAGGGAAUCUUCGGCAAUGGACGAAAGUCUGACCGAGCAACGCCGCGUGAGUGAAGAAGGUUUUCGGAUCGUAAAACUCUGUUGUUAGAGAAGAACAAGGACGUUAGUAACUGAACGUCCCCUGACGGUAUCUAACCAGAAAGCCACGGCUAACUACGUGCCAGCAGCCGCGGUAAUACGUAGGUGGCAAGCGUUGUCCGGAUUUAUUGGGCGUAAAGCGAGCGCAGGCUGUUUCUUAAGGCUGAUGUGAAAGCCCCCGGCUCAACCGGGGAGGGUCAUUGGAAACUGGGAGACUUGAGUGCAGAAGAGGAGAGUGGAAUUCCAUGUGUAGCGGUGAAAUGCGUAGAUAUAUGGAGGAACACCAGUGGCGAAGGCGGCUCUCUGGUCUGUAACUGACGCUGAGGCUCGAAAGCGUGGAGAGCAAACAAG
This 429-nucleotide ribosomal RNA is filed under the name Gemmatimonadota bacterium. Its description in RNAcentral is "Gemmatimonadetes bacterium partial 16S ribosomal RNA". It matches the Rfam family "Bacterial small subunit ribosomal RNA", at positions 355 to 776 of the family's 1533-position model. Lineage: Bacteria; Pseudomonadati; Gemmatimonadota. The record is from RNAcentral.